Molecule: long non-coding RNA, 354 nt
Organism: Limanda limanda (common dab)
Lineage: Eukaryota; Metazoa; Chordata; Actinopteri; Pleuronectiformes; Pleuronectidae
Exons: 3
Source: RefSeq, a predicted model, not a curated record
AGCAGCAGAUCAGGGCCAUCUGCAAAUUCCUCCGUCCUUGUCCGUGUGGGACGUCCUAAAGGGAUGGUGUCUGAUGAAUGUUGCAUUAGAUUUUUGGAAAAGCUGAAAGUUUACGCGACCAGUCAGGACCUGGUUUGCCUGAUAGUUGACAUCCAGAGGGAACCUGAAGACGUGGAGGUCGUGGUGCCCUCUGAGGGUCUUGGAAUUCAACACAUUCGUUAACUUUUUCUGAUUUUAAAGGUGUACCAGCUGAGAGAGGGUGGAUCAGCUGGAGCAGAAGGUCCAGGUGCUGGAGGGACCGGACAGUGCUGGGGGGUGCUGGUCAACCCUGAUAGCAGGACAUCUUGUCAGCUU